GACGAACGCUGGCGGCGUGCUUAACACAUGCAAGUCGAACGGAAAGGCCCUGCUUUUGUGGGGUGCUCGAGUGGCGAACGGGUGAGUAACACGUGAGUAACCUGCCCUUGACUUUGGGAUAACUUCAGGAAACUGGGGCUAAUACCGGAUAGGAGCUCCUGCUGCAUGGUGGGGGUUGGAAAGUUUCGGCGGUUGGGGAUGGACUCGCGGCUUAUCAGCUUGUUGGUGGGGUAGUGGCUUACCAAGGCUUUGACGGGUAGCCGGCCUGAGAGGGUGACCGUCCACAUUGGGACUGAGAUACGGCCCAGACUCCUACGGGAGGCAGCAGUGGGGAAUAUUGCACAAUGGGCGGAAGCCUGAUGCAGCAACGCCGCGUGCGGGAUGACGGCCUUCGGGCUGUAAACCGCUUUCGCCUGUGACGAAGCGUGAGUGACGGUAAUGGGUAAAGAAGCACCGGCUAACUACGUG
RNAcentral lists this ribosomal RNA (468 nucleotides) under uncultured bacterium. RNAcentral's name for it is "partial 16S ribosomal RNA". It matches the Rfam family "Bacterial small subunit ribosomal RNA", at positions 28 to 507 of the family's 1533-position model. The record is from RNAcentral.